Molecule: ribosomal RNA, 253 nt
Filed under: uncultured bacterium
Lineage: Bacteria
Description: partial 16S ribosomal RNA
Rfam family: Bacterial small subunit ribosomal RNA
Source: RNAcentral
UACGUAGGGUGCAAGCGUUGUCCGGAAUUAUUGGGCGUAAAGAGCUCGUAGGCGGCUUGUCACGUCGACUGUGAAAACCCGGGGCUCAACUCCGGGCCUGCAGUCGAUACGGGCUGGCUUGAGUGCGGUAGGGGAGACUGGAAUUCCUGGUGUAGCAGUGAAAUGCGUAGAUAUCAGGAGGAACACCGAUGGCGAAGGCAGGUCUCUGGGCUGACACUGACGCUCAUGCACGAAAGCGUGGGGAGCAAACAGG